GUAGGUGAACCUGCGGAAGGAUCAUUAAAGAAUGCCCCGUUUUUUGAAAUGGGUUCUAUUCCCAAACCGUGUCUACAUACCUUUGUUGCUUUGGCAGGCCGCCUUCGGGCGUCGGCUUACGCUGACUGCGCCUGCCAGAGGACCCAAACUCGUUUGUUUAGUGAUGUCUGAGUACUAUAUAAUAGUUAAAACUUUCAACAACGGAUCUCUUGGUUCUG
This 218-nucleotide unclassified non-coding RNA is filed under the name rhizosphere metagenome. Its description in RNAcentral is "partial ribosomal RNA internal transcribed spacer region". The record is from RNAcentral.